Long non-coding RNA from Dermacentor silvarum, 362 nucleotides. RefSeq lists it as uncharacterized. Lineage: Eukaryota; Metazoa; Arthropoda; Arachnida; Ixodida; Ixodidae. The record is from RefSeq and is a predicted model, not a curated record. The transcript is spliced from 2 exons.
CCAUAGCACUCCAUGUAUACACGUAUCGCUUAUAGUGCAGUUGCGGGAAACGAAAUACCGGUUACAGUGCGUCUGCCUGGGAGUACGGAAGUCAGCGGAGACGGCGAACGCUCCCCUCAAACGGGCGCCCCAAGGAGUGCUCGAGGAAGAAAGAGAGACGAAGUGGAGGAGAAGGGCAGGUGGUGUGAACGAACAGCCAGUGAGGCUGAAACCAGAAUCUUGAGUGCGUCUCGUGAAAUAUCACGGCGCGCAUAGCGAGCGAGGGCCACGAAACUGCCAACGCCGGCCAAGGCUCGCUUCACGAUAACGGCAGUAAACGAAACUUCAGGGAGCGGGCGGCGCCGGCACGGCACGGCGAAGGG